GCAAGUCGAACGAGACCUUCGGGGUUAGUGGCGCACGGGUGCGGAACACGUGGGAAUGUACCUUCUGGUAAGGAAUAAUAUUUGGAAACGAAUACUAAUACCUUAUAAUAUCUUCGGAUCAAAGAUUUAUCGCCAGAAGAUCAGCCCGCGCAUGAUUAGAUAGUUGGUGAGGUAAUGGCUCACCAAGUCUACGAUCAUUAGCUGGUCUGAGAGGAUGAUC
This 220-nucleotide ribosomal RNA is filed under the name uncultured bacterium. RNAcentral's name for it is "partial 16S ribosomal RNA". It matches the Rfam family "Bacterial small subunit ribosomal RNA", at positions 57 to 305 of the family's 1533-position model. The record is from RNAcentral.